CAAUAGCGUAUAUUAAAGUUGUUGCAGUUAAAAAGCUCGUAGUUGGAUUUGUGGCGUACGGUGUGUUCCGGGCACUUGUUGUCUGAGUAACCUGCUGUUGCCAUCCUUGGGUGGAACCUGUGUGGCAUUAGGUUGUCGUGCAGGGGAUGCCCAUCAUUUACUGUGAAAAAAUUAGAGUGUUCAAAGCAGGCUUAUGCCGUUGAAUAUAUUAGCAUGGAAUAAUGAGAUAGGACUUUUUUGCUAUUUUGAUGGUUUGCGCAAGAAGGUAAUGAUUAAUAGGGACAGUUGGGGGUAUUCGUAUUCCAUUGUCAGAGGUGAAAUUCUUGGAUUUUUGGAAGACGAACUACUGCGAAAGCAUUUACCAAGGAUGUUUUCAUUAA
This 380-nucleotide ribosomal RNA is filed under the name uncultured eukaryote. Its description in RNAcentral is "partial 18S ribosomal RNA". It matches the Rfam family "Eukaryotic small subunit ribosomal RNA", at positions 592 to 976 of the family's 1831-position model. The record is from RNAcentral.